RNAcentral lists this ribosomal RNA (253 nucleotides) under uncultured bacterium. Its description in RNAcentral is "partial 16S ribosomal RNA". It matches the Rfam family "Bacterial small subunit ribosomal RNA", at positions 524 to 776 of the family's 1533-position model. The record is from RNAcentral.
UACGUAGGGGGCUAGCGUUGUCCGGAAUCAUUGGGCGUAAAGCGCGUGUAGGCGGUUCGGUAAGUCCGCUGUGAAAGUCGGGGGCUCAACCCUCGAAUGCCGGUGGAUACUGUCGGACUAGAGUACGGAAGAGGCGAGUGGAAUUCCUGGUGUAGCGGUGAAAUGCGUAGAUAUCUGGAGGAACACCGGUGGCGAAGGCGGCAUCCUGGACCGAUACUGACGCUGAGGAGCGAAAGCCAGGGGAGCAAACGGG